Molecule: long non-coding RNA, 280 nt
Filed under: Phoenix dactylifera (date palm)
Lineage: Eukaryota; Viridiplantae; Streptophyta; Magnoliopsida; Arecales; Arecaceae
Description: long non-coding RNA (PDAC_LNC005096)
Source: RNAcentral
AAAGAAAAAUGUUAUCUUGAAAUUAUUGUCACUUAAAUUGAAAGAAAACAUUUCUUGGCUUUGACAUAUCUGGUUCUAUCUAUUUAAGCACAUUUUUUUGCAUAUAUAAUGCCUAACCGGUUUUGACUACAUUGGAUGGAUACUAAGGAUGCAAGAAUAUUAUUGGGCACAUCAUGUCAUUGUAAUAUAUCUCGUCUGAAUGAAUUAGUUGGUACGAGAAAUGUUAGAAAUAGUAAACAAAAAAAGUAAUAAGAGGUGAAAAGGAUAGAGAGACUUCCCA